GUGGGGAAUCUUCCGCAAUGGACGAAAGUCUGACGGAGCGACGCCGCGUGAGUGAAGAAGGCCUUCGGGUCGUAAAGCUCUGUCAUCAGGGACGAACGGCCGGUGGAGUGGAAAGCCACCGGAUUGACGGUACCAGAGAAGGAAGCCACGGCUAACUACGUGCCAGCAGCCGCGGUAAUACGUAGGUGGCAAGCGUUGUCCGGAAUUAUUGGGCGUAAAGCGCGCGCAGGUGGGAUCUUAAGUCCAUUUUGAAAGUUCGGAGCUCAACUCCGUGAUGGGAUGGAAACUGGGAUUCUUGAGUACCGGAGAGGAAAGCGGAAUUCCCCGUGUAGCGGUGAAAUGCGUAGAUAUGGGGAGGAACACCAGUGGCGAAGGCGGCUUUCUGGACGGUGUCUGACACUGAGGCGCGAAAGCUAGGGGAGCGAACGGGAUUAGAAACCCGAGUAGUCC
This 450-nucleotide ribosomal RNA is filed under the name uncultured bacterium. RNAcentral describes it as "partial 16S ribosomal RNA". It matches the Rfam family "Bacterial small subunit ribosomal RNA", at positions 354 to 796 of the family's 1533-position model. The record is from RNAcentral.